UUAGCCAGAAGCUUUCGUAAGGAGUUUACUCUUUGGAAGGUCUGAGAAUGUACGUUUGGUUAAUUGCCAUUGGUUAAACCCAAGUCUUCCUUACCAGAAAUCCUCUUGCUACCGGACUGAAAUGGAAUGAAGGUAGUAAGAUUGGGAAAGUGGAGAUGUACAGCUAAAUAACAGUCUAAUACGAAAGGCAGUUGUUCCUGCAACAGAAUUCAGACUACUCUUUGGCUAA
This 229-nucleotide RNase P RNA is filed under the name Anncaliia algerae PRA339. RNAcentral describes it as "Nuclear RNase P". It matches the Rfam family "Nuclear RNase P". Rfam says of the family: Ribonuclease P (RNase P) is a ubiquitous endoribonuclease, found in archaea, bacteria and eukarya as well as chloroplasts and mitochondria. Its best characterised activity is the generation of mature 5'-ends of tRNAs by cleaving the 5'-leader elements of precursor-tRNAs. The record is from Rfam by way of RNAcentral. Lineage: Eukaryota; Fungi; Microsporidia; Tubulinosematidae.